This 259-nucleotide ribosomal RNA is filed under the name uncultured bacterium. RNAcentral describes it as "partial 16S ribosomal RNA". It matches the Rfam family "Bacterial small subunit ribosomal RNA", at positions 524 to 780 of the family's 1533-position model. The record is from RNAcentral.
UACGGAGGGUGCGAGCGUUAAUCGGAAUUACUGGGCGUAAAGCGCACGUAGGUGGUUCGUUAAGUCGGAUGUGAAAUCCCUGGGCGUAACCUAGGAAUUGCAUUUAAUACUUUUUAUCUAGAGUAUUGUAGGGGGAAGUGGAAUUUCCGGUGGUAGCGGUGAAAUGCGUAGAUAUCGGAAGGAACACCAGUGGCGAAGGCGACUUCCUGGACAAAUACUCGACACUGAGACACGAAAGCGUGGGGAGCAAACAGGAUUA